CGUAGGCGCAAGCGUUAUCCGGAAUUAUUGGGCGUAAAGAGCUCGUAGGCGGUUUGUCGCGUCUGCUGUGAAACCCGAGGCUCAACCUCGGGCCUGCAGUGGGUACGGGCAGACUAGAGUGCGGUAGGGGAGAUUGGAAUUCCUGGUGUAGCGGUGGAAUGCGCAGAUAUCAGGAGGAACACCGAUGGCGAAGGCAGAUCUCUGGGCCGUAACUGACACUGAGGAGCGAAAGGGUGGGGGAGCAAACAGGCUU
This 253-nucleotide ribosomal RNA is filed under the name uncultured bacterium. Its description in RNAcentral is "partial 16S ribosomal RNA". It matches the Rfam family "Bacterial small subunit ribosomal RNA", at positions 526 to 779 of the family's 1533-position model. The record is from RNAcentral.